RNAcentral lists this unclassified non-coding RNA (421 nucleotides) under soil metagenome. RNAcentral's name for it is "partial contains 5.8S ribosomal RNA, internal transcribed spacer 2, and large subunit ribosomal RNA". The stretch from base 1 to 120 matches the Rfam family "5.8S ribosomal RNA", at positions 35 to 154 of the family's 154-position model. The record is from RNAcentral.
GAUGAAGAACGCAGUGAAAUGCGAUACGUAAUGUGAAUUGCAGAAUUCAGUGAAUCAUCGAAUCUUUGAACGCAUAUUGCGCUCUUUGGUAUUCCGAAGAGCAUGCUUGUUUGAGUAUCAGUAAACACCUCAACCUCUUCUUGAUUUUUCAAAAGGAGGGUGGACUUGAGCUAUCCCAACAACCUUUACCGGUCGGCUGGCGGCUUGAAAUGCAGGUGCAGCUGGACUUUUAUCUGAGCUAAAAGCAUAUCUAUUUAGUCCUCGUCAAACAGGAUUAUUACUUUUGCUGCAGCUAACAUAAAGGAUAAUUGUCCUCUUUGCUGACUGAUGCAGGAUUUUACGACACUUUAUGUGUUGUUCAACUCGAUCUCAAAUCAAGUAAGACUACCCGCUGAACUUAAGCAUAUCAAUAAGCGGAGGA